RNAcentral lists this ribosomal RNA (305 nucleotides) under uncultured bacterium. Its description in RNAcentral is "bacterial SSU rRNA". It matches the Rfam family "Bacterial small subunit ribosomal RNA", at positions 333 to 636 of the family's 1533-position model. The record is from RNAcentral.
GUUCUCCUACGGGAGGCAGCAGUGAGGAAUAUUGGUCAAUGGGCGGUAGCCUGAACCAGCCAAGUAGCGUGAAGGAUGAAGGUUCUAUGGAUUGUAAACUUCUUUUAUAAAGGAAUAAAGUGAGGCACGUGUGCCUUUUUGUAUGUACUUUAUGAGUAAGGAUCGGCUAACUCCGUGCCAGCAGCCGCGGUAAUACGGAGGAUGCGAGCGUUAUCCGGAUUUAUUGGGUUUAAAGGGUGCGCAGGCGGACCAUCAAGUCAGCGGUAAAAUCGUGGGGCCCAACCCCAUCCCGCCGUUGAAACUGG